GUAAGUCAUUCUAGUUCUUCUGCGUGGGAUGCUGCCACAGCAUGGCUUGAUGACCAGUGUAUAGGUCUGUGCCCAGGAUCUGAACUGGCAAACCUCGAGACACCAAAGCAGAGCACACAAACUUAACCACUCAGGCACGGGGCUGGCCCGCUGAUUCCAUAUUAUUUAGAUAAGGAAAAUAAUGUCUGUCUUGAAGAGUUCACCUAACAAACUUUUAUUGUCCAUCUACUAUCUGCAUGACAUAAUGCUAGAGAAACCACUGAGAAAAAGACAGACAAGACCUCGAUGUUCCUGGGGCAUGCAGUCCAGUGAUGGAGAGAUGAUAAAGCAAGCAAACGAGAAUCACAGCAAACAGUUUAGUGUAACAGAGAAGAACAGAGUGUGAGCACCGAGAACUGGGAAAUCAGCCCCUCUAAGGGCUAAAAGAGUAACUGAUGGAAAGCUCUGGGCACACUGGCCAGUUACUAUUAUAGUCCUCACCUGGUAGCUGCCAGAACUGCUCUCCUCAAAGGGGAGCCUGCCAUUAGCAAAUCA
RNAcentral lists this long non-coding RNA (534 nucleotides) under Equus asinus (donkey). RNAcentral describes it as "lncRNA (ENSEASG00005024854.1)". Lineage: Eukaryota; Metazoa; Chordata; Mammalia; Perissodactyla; Equidae. The record is from RNAcentral.